This 459-nucleotide ribosomal RNA is filed under the name uncultured bacterium. RNAcentral describes it as "partial 16S ribosomal RNA". It matches the Rfam family "Bacterial small subunit ribosomal RNA", at positions 339 to 795 of the family's 1533-position model. The record is from RNAcentral.
CUACGGGUCGCUCCAGUAAGGAAUAUUGCGCAAUGGAGGCAACUCUGACGCAGCCAUGCCGCGUGCAGGAAGAAGGCCUUAUGGGUCGUAAACUGCUUUUAUUUAGGAAUAAACCCCCGAACGUGUUCGGGGCUGAAGGUACUAAACGAAUAAGCACCGGCUAACUCCGUGCCAGCAGCCGCGGUAAUACGGAGGGUGCAAGCGUUAUCCGGAUUUAUUGGGUUUAAAGGGUGCGCAGGCGGGCUAUUAAGUCAGUGGUGAAAUCCCGGGGCUCAACUCCGGAACUGCCAUGGAUACUGAUAGUCUUGAGUUUGGUUGAAGUGGGCGGAAUGUAGGAUGUAGCGGUGAAAUGCAUAGAUAUGCUACAGAACACCAAUCGCGAAGGCAGCUCACUAAGCCAAAACUGACGCUCAUGCACGAAAGCGUGGGGAUCAAACAGGAUUAGAUACCCCUGUAGUC